RNAcentral lists this ribosomal RNA (327 nucleotides) under uncultured eukaryote. RNAcentral describes it as "partial 18S ribosomal RNA". It matches the Rfam family "Eukaryotic small subunit ribosomal RNA", at positions 1470 to 1796 of the family's 1831-position model. The record is from RNAcentral.
CCCUUAGAUGUUCUGGGCCGCACACGCGCUACACUGAAGGAGGCAGCGUGUACUCCUGGAUCGAAAGAUUUGGGUAACCCGCGAAUCUCCUUCGUGCUAGGGAUUGAGGUUUGCAAUUAUCCUUCAUGAACGAGGAAUUCCCAGUAAGUGCGAGUCAUAAGCUUGCGCUGACUACGUCCCUGCCCUUUGUACACACCGCCCGUCGCUACUACCGAUUGAAUGAUUUAGUGAGGACUUCGGACUGGGACCGAUGCGGCUUUCGGGCUGCGUCGGUAUUCUGGAAAGAUGUCCAAACUGUAUCAUUUAGAGGAAGUAAAAGUCGUAACA